GACAGAGGGUGCAAACGUUGUUCGGAAUUACUGGGCGUAAAGCGAGUGUAGGCGGUCUGCUAAGUCGGAUGUGAAAGCCCCGGGCUCAACCCGGGAAGUGCACUCGAAACUGGCAGGCUAGAGUAUCGGAGAGGUUGGUGGAAUUCUCGGUGUAGAGGUGAAAUUCGUAGAUAUCGAGAGGAACACCGGUGGCGAAGGCGGCCAACUGGACGAAUACUGACGCUGAGACUCGAAAGCGUGGGGAGCAAACAGG
This 253-nucleotide ribosomal RNA is filed under the name uncultured bacterium. Its description in RNAcentral is "partial 16S ribosomal RNA". It matches the Rfam family "Bacterial small subunit ribosomal RNA", at positions 524 to 776 of the family's 1533-position model. The record is from RNAcentral.